Molecule: ribosomal RNA, 303 nt
Filed under: uncultured bacterium
Lineage: Bacteria
Description: partial 16S ribosomal RNA
Rfam family: Bacterial small subunit ribosomal RNA
Source: RNAcentral
AGCAGUAGCCGCGGUAAUACGGAGGGGGCUAGCGUUGUUCGGAAUUACCGGGCGUAAAGCGCACGUAGGCGGCUUGGUAAGUUAGAGGUGAAAGCCCGGAGCUCAACUCCGGAAUUGCCUUUAAGACUGCCGAGCUAGUAGGUGAGAGAGGUAAGUGGAAUUCCGAGUGUAGAGGUGAAAUUCGUAGAUAUUCGGAAGAACACCAGUGGCGAAGGCGGCUUACUGGCUCAUUCUAGACGCUGAGGUGCGAAAGCGUGGGGAGCAAACAGGAUUAGAGACCCCCGUAGUCCCUGUCUCUUAUAC